This 982-nucleotide ribosomal RNA is filed under the name Acinetobacter sp. RNAcentral describes it as "bacterial SSU rRNA". It matches the Rfam family "Bacterial small subunit ribosomal RNA", at positions 33 to 1011 of the family's 1533-position model. The record is from RNAcentral. Lineage: Bacteria; Pseudomonadati; Pseudomonadota; Gammaproteobacteria; Moraxellales; Moraxellaceae.
CCGCUAUGGCGGCAGGCUUACACAUGCAGUCGAGCGGAGAGAGGUAGCUUGCUACUGAUCUUAGCGGCGGACGGGUGAGUAAUGCUUAGGAAUCUGCCUAUUAGUGGGGGACAACAUUUCGAAAGGAAUGCUAAUACCGCAUACGUCCUACGGGAGAAAGCAGGGGAUCUUCGGACCUUGCGCUAAUAGAUGAGCCUAAGUCGGAUUAGCUAGUUGGUGGGGUAAAGGCCUACCAAGGCGACGAUCUGUAGCGGGUCUGAGAGGAUGAUCCGCCACACUGGGACUGAGACACGGCCCAGACUCCUACGGGAGGCAGCAGUGGGGAAUAUUGGACAAUGGGCGGAAGCCUGAUCCAGCCAUGCCGCGUGUGUGAAGAAGGCCUUAUGGUUGUAAAGCACUUUAAGCGAGGAGGAGGCUACUUUAGUUAAUACCUAGAGAUAGUGGACGUUACUCGCAGAAUAAGCACCGGCUAACUCUGUGCCAGCAGCCGCGGUAAUACAGAGGGUGCAAGCGUUAAUCGGAUUUACUGGGCGUAAAGCGCGCGUAGGCGGCUAAUUAAGUCAAAUGUGAAAUCCCCGAGCUUAACUUGGGAAUUGCAUUCGAUACUGGUUAGCUAGAGUGUGGGAGAGGAUGGUAGAAUUCCAGGUGUAGCGGUGAAAUGCGUAGAGAUCUGGAGGAAUACCGAUGGCGAAGGCAGCCAUCUGGCCUAACACUGACGCUGAGGUGCGAAAGCAUGGGGAGCAAACAGGAUUAGAUACCCUGGUAGUCCAUGCCGUAAACGAUGUCUACUAGCCGUUGGGGCCUUUGAGGCUUUAGUGGCGCAGCUAACGCGAUAAGUAGACCGCCUGGGGAGUACGGUCGCAGACUAAAACUCAAAUGAAUUGACGGGGCCCGCACAAGCGGUGGAGCAUGUGGUUUAAUUCGAUGCAACCGCGAAGAACCUUACCUGGCCUUGACAUAGUAAGAACUUUCCAAGAGGAUG